Molecule: ribosomal RNA, 253 nt
Filed under: uncultured bacterium
Lineage: Bacteria
Description: partial 16S ribosomal RNA
Rfam family: Bacterial small subunit ribosomal RNA
Source: RNAcentral
UACGGGGGGGGCAAGCGUUGUUCGGAAUUACUGGGCGUAAAGGGCUCGUAGGCGGCCAACUAAGUCAGACGUGAAAUCCCUCGGCUUAACCGGGGAACUGCGUCUGAUACUGGAUGGCUUGAGUUCGGGAGAGGGAUGCGGAAUUCCAGGUGUAGCGGUGAAAUGCGUAGAUAUCUGGAGGAACACCGGUGGCGAAGGCGGCAUCCUGGACCAAUUCUGACGCUGAGGAGCGAAAGCCAGGGGAGCAAACGGG